Molecule: long non-coding RNA, 624 nt
Organism: Apus apus (common swift)
Lineage: Eukaryota; Metazoa; Chordata; Aves; Apodiformes; Apodidae
Exons: 3
Source: RefSeq, a predicted model, not a curated record
UGGUUCUAUGAUCUGAAAUGUCCCCCUUUUUUUGGUGAAACCCAAGAGAACCCACUGACCAAGUUACGGGGCAGCUGGAGAACUUCUUCAUGUUUCUGUAUCCCAGAGAAGGGUUUUCCAUCCAUCCAUCUCCCCACCUGUCCUAACAACCCCCUCGUUAUCCCCCACAGCUGAGCUGAUGAAGUGCUGCACCUCUUUCCCAUCACAUCUUCCACACAUCCAGAUCUCCCCCUGCACCCCAGGCGUGAGAGGAGCAGGUCAGCUGGGAUCUGCUCUUCAUCCUAGCAUAACACAGUGGCAAGAUCCUCACGUCUGGCAAACUUACACCGUUUGGAAAGUGGCAUCUGUGGAGAAAGAAAUACCUGAACAAAACACAUUUCCAGCUGAUGUCUCCCCUGCACAUUUUGUGUCCUAGCAGGUGAAAAAUGCCUGAUCUGUACCAGCAGCACAUACCAGCUGAGAAAUGAGAAGAGCUCCUUUAAGCCUCCAGUGUCAGCCCAUCUUCCCUGCCAAGCUCUGAACUGCUCCACCUUCAAACCCUGCUAUGUCACUACUUCCCAUGUAAGAUUUUUUUUUGGUUUGUUUCCUUCCUAGUGAAAUUUAAAAUAAACUCUGAAACUUUUA